AGAGUUUGAUCAUGGCUCAGAGCGAACGCUGGCGGCAGGCUUAACACAUGCAAGUCGAGCGGGCGUAGCAAUACGUCAGCGGCAGACGGGUGAGUAACGCGUGGGAACGUACCUUUUGGUUCGGAACAACACAGGGAAACUUGUGCUAAUACCGGAUAAGCCCUUACGGGGAAAGAUUUAUCGCCGAAAGAUCGGCCCGCGUCUGAUUAGCUAGUUGGUGAGGUAACGGCUCACCAAGGCGACGAUCAGUAGCUGGUCUGAGAGGAUGAUCAGCCACAUUGGGACUGAGACACGGCCCAAACUCCUACGGGAGGCAGCAGUGGGGAAUAUUGGACAAUGGGCGCAAGCCUGAUCCAGCCAUGCCGCGUGAGUGAUGAAGGCCCUAGGGUUGUAAAGCUCUUUUGUGCGGGAAGAUAAUGACGGUACCGCAAGAAUAAGCCCCGGCUAACUUCGUGCCAGCAGCCGCGGUAAUACGAAGGGGGCUAGCGUUGCUCGGAAUCACUGGGCGUAAAGGGUGCGUAGGCGGGUCUUUAAGUCAGGGGUGAAAUCCUGGAGCUCAACUCCAGAACUGCCAUUGAUACUGAAGAUCUUGAGUUCGGGAGAGGUGAGUGGAACUGCGAGUGUAGAGGUGAAAUUCGUAGAUAUUCGCAAGAACACCAGUGGCGAAGGCGGCUCACUGGCCCGAUACUGACGCUGAUGCACGAAAGCGUGGGGAGCAAACAGGAUUAGAUACCCCAGUAGUCC
This 744-nucleotide ribosomal RNA is filed under the name uncultured bacterium. Its description in RNAcentral is "bacterial SSU rRNA". It matches the Rfam family "Bacterial small subunit ribosomal RNA", at positions 8 to 796 of the family's 1533-position model. The record is from RNAcentral.